Molecule: ribosomal RNA, 252 nt
Filed under: uncultured bacterium
Lineage: Bacteria
Description: partial 16S ribosomal RNA
Rfam family: Bacterial small subunit ribosomal RNA
Source: RNAcentral
UACGUAGGGGGCGAGCGUUAUCCGGAUUCAUUGGGCGUAAAGCGCGCGUAGGCGGCCGCCUAAGCGGGACCUCUAACCCCGGGGCUCAACCCCGGGCCGGGUCCCGGACUGGGCGGCUCGAGUGCGGUAGAGGAGAGUGGAAUUCCAUGUGUAGCGGUGAAAUGCGUAGAUAUAUGGAGGAACACCGGUGGCGAAAGCGGCUCUCUGGCCUGUAACUGACACUGAGGCUCGAAAGCGUGGGGAGCAAACAGG